GGGGAUUUAGCUCAGUGGUAGAGCACUUGCCUAGCAAGCGCAAGGCCCUGGGUUCGAUCCUCAGCUCCA
Molecule: transfer RNA, 69 nt
Filed under: Rattus norvegicus (Norway rat)
Lineage: Eukaryota; Metazoa; Chordata; Mammalia; Rodentia; Muridae
Also listed under: 1 other name
Rfam family: tRNA
About the family: Transfer RNA (tRNA) molecules are approximately 80 nucleotides in length. Their secondary structure includes four short double-helical elements and three loops (D, anti-codon, and T loops).
Source: Rfam by way of RNAcentral